This 372-nucleotide RNase P RNA is filed under the name Candidatus Muproteobacteria bacterium RIFCSPLOWO2_01_FULL_60_18. RNAcentral describes it as "RNase P RNA component class A". It matches the Rfam family "Bacterial RNase P class A". From Rfam's summary of the family: Ribonuclease P (RNase P) is a ubiquitous endoribonuclease, found in archaea, bacteria and eukarya as well as chloroplasts and mitochondria. The record is from RNAcentral. Lineage: Bacteria; Pseudomonadati; Pseudomonadota; Candidatus Muproteobacteria.
GGAGUUGGCCAGACAGCCGCUGCCCGCCCACGUUCGCGUGGCCGGGUGGAGGAAAGUCCGGGCUCCGCAGGGCAGGGUGCCAGGUAACACCUGGGCGGCGCGAGCCGAUGGAAAGCGCCACAGAAAAUAUACCGCCUAAGUCUUCCUGAUUCAUUUCAGGUGACCGGUAAGGGUGAAAUGGUGCGGUAAGAGCGCACCGCGCGGGUGGCAACAUCCCGUGGCAGGGCAAGCCCCACCCGGAGUAAGGCCAAAUAGGGGAACGAUAGUGCUGCCCGCACUGUUCCCGGGUAGGCCGCAUGAGGCGCUUGGCGACAGGCGUCCCAGAUGAAUGGCUGUCCACGACAGAACCCGGCUUACCGGCCAACUCCUUUU